ACCUGGCUGGCUCGGUUGGUAGAGCGUGUGACUCUUGAUCUCAGGGUUAUGAGUUCGAGUCCCACCUUGGGUG
RNAcentral lists this transfer RNA (73 nucleotides) under Felis catus (domestic cat). It matches the Rfam family "tRNA". Rfam says of the family: Transfer RNA (tRNA) molecules are approximately 80 nucleotides in length. Their secondary structure includes four short double-helical elements and three loops (D, anti-codon, and T loops). Further hydrogen bonds mediate the characteristic L-shaped molecular structure. tRNAs have two regions of fundamental functional importance: the anti-codon, which is responsible for specific mRNA codon recognition, and the 3' end, to which the tRNAs corresponding amino acid is attached (by aminoacyl-tRNA synthetases). tRNAs cope with the degeneracy of the genetic code in two manners: having more than one tRNA (with a specific anti-codon) for a particular amino acid; and 'wobble' base-pairing, i.e. permitting non-standard base-pairing at the 3rd anti-codon position. The record is from Rfam by way of RNAcentral. RNAcentral also lists the same sequence under 2 other names. Lineage: Eukaryota; Metazoa; Chordata; Mammalia; Carnivora; Felidae.